AGAACGAACGCUGGCGGCAGGCUUAACACAUGCAAGUCGAGCGCUGUAGCAAUACAGAGCGGCGCACGGGUGAGUAACACGUGGGAACAUGCCUUUCGGUUCGGAAUAACUCAGGGAAACUUGUGCUAAUACCGGAUACGCCCUUACGGGGAAAGAUUUAUUGCCGAAAGAGUGGCCCGCGUUGGAUUAGCUAGUUGGCGGGGUAAAAGCCCACCAAGGCGACGAUCCAUAGCUGGUCUGAGAGGACGACCAGCCACACUGGGACUGAGACACGGCCCAGACUCCUACGGGAGGCAGCAGUGGGGAAUCUUGGACAAUGGGGGAAACCCUGAUCCAGCCAUGCCGCGUGAGUGAUGAAGGCCCUAGGGUUGUAAAACUCGUUUCGGCGGGGACGAGUAAUGACGGUACCGCAGAAGAGCUCCGGCUAACUUCGUGCCAGCAGCCGC
RNAcentral lists this ribosomal RNA (446 nucleotides) under uncultured bacterium. Its description in RNAcentral is "SSU rRNA". It matches the Rfam family "Bacterial small subunit ribosomal RNA", at positions 26 to 518 of the family's 1533-position model. The record is from RNAcentral.